AGAGUUUGAUCCUGGCUCAGAGCGAACGCUGGCGGCAGGCCUAACACAUGCAAGUCGAGCGCCCCGCAAGGGGAGCGGCAGACGGGAGAGUAACACGUGGGAACGUACCCUUCAGUUCGGAACAACCCAGGGAAACUUGGGCUAAUACCGGAUACGUCCGUAAGGAGAAAGAUUUAUCGCUGAAGGAUCGGCCCGCGUCUGAUUAGCUUGUUGGUGAGGUAACGGCUCACCAAGGCUACGAUCAGUAGCUGGUCUGAGAGGAUGAUCAGCCUCACUGGGACUGAGACACGGCCCAGACUCCUACGGGAGGCAGCAGUGGGGAAUAUUGGACAAUGGGCGCAAGCCUGAUCCAGCCAUGCCGCGUGGGUGAUGAAGGCCCUAGGGUUGUAAAGCCCUU
RNAcentral lists this ribosomal RNA (397 nucleotides) under uncultured bacterium. RNAcentral describes it as "bacterial SSU rRNA". It matches the Rfam family "Bacterial small subunit ribosomal RNA", at positions 8 to 435 of the family's 1533-position model. The record is from RNAcentral.